This is a small nuclear RNA of Macaca fascicularis (crab-eating macaque), 107 nucleotides long. The record is from Ensembl. NCBI's taxonomy places the organism in Eukaryota, Metazoa, Chordata, Mammalia, Primates, Cercopithecidae.
GUGCUCGCUUUGGCAGCGCAUUCACUAAAAUUGGAACGACACUGAGAAGAUUAGCAUGGCCCCUGCACAAGAAUGACAUACAAAUUUGUGAAGCGUUACAUAUUUUU